UCGGAGGCGCUUUGGAGGCGUUGAUGGCAUCGCUGGGUUCGGUUUGCAGCGGGUGUCCGCUAAGGGAUACGGUGUUCUUCCUGAGUGGGCACGGUUCUCGGUGCCGGUAGGGAUGAUAAUGGGUACUGAGAAAAUACGUCUCCCUUAGAGUACCGCGGAAAGGUUCUCAGUGCGCUCUCUAUCAAGUGCUAUGAGUCUUGAUAAAUUGGAGAAGAGCCCAAGAGAAAUUUUUCAUCCCUUGAUAUAAAAGGGACCGGUGAAUUUUAACUUUGGAGUCCCCUAUGCUAAGGAUGCUCAGCUUACAGGUGAUGAAAUGUUCAGUAAUGUAUUUGCUGCAGCUCUGCUUACCCAAGCUUUGGGUUCCUUCUGUCCCACUGGGAGUUGCCCAGUUUGGUUGCAUCUGGUGAAAUUCACCCUGAGACCUUACAGAACUAGCUCCAACUACGUGAGAGCCAUUUGCAGUUCUCUCCAGACACCUGGAGAAUGGGUGACGUUUCUGAGGAUCCGGCGAGCGUGCUUCUAUCAAAACUCAGUCUGUGAAAUUCCUGGGGAAAACCCUUCUGUGUCCUGAAGGGUUCAAACUCUGGUGAGGAUCCAGUUAUCAGGGGCUCACCUGGAUGGUUCCAGCUCCCAAAGUUAACACUUCUACUCUUGCCCUGUAGUUUACAUCUAUUGUAUUUUUGUUAUUUUGCAACAUUUUUUGUCUUUGCAAAAUAUUGUGCAUUUCACUCUUUGGAACCUCUCAGAUGGUUCUUUGGUGCAGCACCACCCCAGGGGACACUUGGCUGCUGUCCUGAAGGGUUUGGUCGCUAGAAUUGUGAAUCCUGGAGAGUUUGUGAGUCUUCUGUCCCCAGGGAGGUGUCGUGCUUUGUUUACUUUUGUUCUGUUGGUUAGGCGCUGCUUCUCGUUGCAAGUAUGAAUUUCAAACUGCCCUGUUCUUAUUUUAACUGUUUUCCUGGUUCUCUCUGUCCGGCAGGGAAAGACUCUCGUAUCCUUGUCGUCGGGCUCGGUGCUGUCCAAGAAGAUACAGAGACUAAAAAAAUCAUAAGAAGCAAAAUAUGACUGCAGGGAAAAGAAGCUGGAGAGAACAGAAGACUCAUCACGGCGGGACAGCGUGAGGACUGAAAGUGUAAGAAGAUGUGGAGGGAAACAGAGAAUCUGACAGGAGCAGCGAACGCACGAGUGCAGGAAUUUUGCUUUUUGCUUGGAUGUAAACUCAGGAGUUGAGAGGAAUUUGGGAGUGAGAAGGGACAUUUCAGAAGGAGAAGAAGAAAAAGAGGUUGUUGUUGUUGUUACAGUCCUGGCAAAAUCUUUUGUUCUAGCUAAUAAAAGAAGUUAGUUUAAAAAACAAAAAGGAAAAAAUGUAGUGUUUUUUUUUUCCUUCACUAUGAUAUUCAUUGGUGGUAUAUGGUGUGUUGUUUUAUUUCUUGGUAUUAUUAACUCUGUGUAAAUUGUUUUUUGAGUGAAGCUGACUUUCUGGAUGGGUUGGUUUGUAUUUGAGGCAGGAUUAAUUUCAGUAGGGUUCUUUCAUAGAUUUCUGAUGGGUAUUACUGGGAUUUUGGUUUUGUUUACUGUAUGUAUAAACCUAGAGCUUUGGUAGGGCCAGCUGGGCUGCUGGAGUUUUGGGUGUGAAUUUAUUAGAUGGCUUUUGUUAGAUGCAGUUUUUAAUUUUUGAAAUGUUUUUCAAUGUAGUGGUUUUAAGGUGGUUUUUAAGAAUUCAUUGUAUUGCUUUAUCUUGUUUGUAGUUGGUGUAUGAUAAGGGAUGUGGUGUGACUUUUUGAACAUUAU
Long non-coding RNA from Melospiza melodia melodia, 1788 nucleotides. RefSeq lists it as uncharacterized. NCBI's taxonomy places the organism in Eukaryota, Metazoa, Chordata, Aves, Passeriformes, Passerellidae. The record is from RefSeq and is a predicted model, not a curated record. The transcript is spliced from 6 exons.